UGGGGAAUAUUGCACAAUGGGCGCAAGCCUGAUGCAGCAACGCCGCGUGAACGAUGAAGGUCUUCGGAUCGUAAAGUUCUGUUGCAGGGGAAGAUAAUGACGGUACCCUGUGAGGAAGCCCCGGCUAACUACGUGCCAGCAGCCGCGGUAAUACGUAGGGGGCUAGCGUUAUCCGGAUUUACUGGGCGUAAAGGGUGCGUAGGUGGUCUUUCAAGUCGGUGGUUAAAGGCUACGGCUCAACCGUAGUUAGCCUCCGAAACUGGAAGACUUGGGUUCAGGAGAGGAAAGUGGAAUUCCCAGUGUAGCGGUGAAAUGCGUAGAUAUGGUGAGGAACACCAGUAGCGAAGGCGUCUUUCUGGACUGCAACUGACACUGAGGCACGAAAGAGUGAGUAGCAAACAGG
This 403-nucleotide ribosomal RNA is filed under the name Verrucomicrobiota bacterium. RNAcentral describes it as "Verrucomicrobia bacterium partial 16S ribosomal RNA". It matches the Rfam family "Bacterial small subunit ribosomal RNA", at positions 355 to 776 of the family's 1533-position model. The record is from RNAcentral. Lineage: Bacteria; Pseudomonadati; Verrucomicrobiota.